This 497-nucleotide ribosomal RNA is filed under the name uncultured bacterium. RNAcentral's name for it is "partial 16S ribosomal RNA". It matches the Rfam family "Bacterial small subunit ribosomal RNA", at positions 28 to 507 of the family's 1533-position model. The record is from RNAcentral.
GAUGAACGCUGGCGGCGUGCCUAAUACAUGCAAGUCGAGCGAACAGACGAGGAGCUUGCUCCUUCGACGUUAGCGGCGGACGGGUGAGUAACACGUAGGUAACCUACCUAUAAGACUGGGAUAACUUCGGGAAACCGGAGCUAAUACCGGAUAAUAUUUCGAACCGCAUGGUUCGAUAGUGAAAGAUGGCUUUGCUAUCACUUAUAGAUGGACCUGCGCCGUAUUAGCUAGUUGGUAAGGUAACGGCUUACCAAGGCAACGAUACGUAGCCGACCUGAGAGGGUGAUCGGCCACACUGGAACUGAGACACGGUCCAGACUCCUACGGGAGGCAGCAGUAGGGAAUCUUCCGCAAUGGGCGAAAGCCUGACGGAACAACGCCGCGUGAGUGAUGAAGGUCUUCGGAUCGUAAAACCCUGUUAUUAGGGAAGAACAAACGUGUAAGUAACUGUGCACGUCUUGACGGUACCUAAUCAGAAAGCCACGGCUAACUACGUG